RNAcentral lists this ribosomal RNA (407 nucleotides) under uncultured bacterium. Its description in RNAcentral is "bacterial SSU rRNA". It matches the Rfam family "Bacterial small subunit ribosomal RNA", at positions 28 to 416 of the family's 1533-position model. The record is from RNAcentral.
GAUGAACGCUGGCGGCGUGCUUAACACAUGCAAGUCGAGCGAAGCACUUAACUUUGAUUCUUUCGGGAUGAAGAGUUCUGUGACUGAGCGGCGGACGGGUGAGUAACGCGUGGGUAACCUGCCUCAUACAGGGGGAUAACAGUUAGAAAUGGCUGCUAAUACCGCAUAAGACCACAGCACCGCAUGGUGCAGGGGUAAAAACUCCGGUGGUAUGAGAUGGACCCGCGUCUGAUUAGCUAGUUGGUGGGUAACGGCCUACCAAGGCGACGAUCAGUAGCCGACCUGAGAGGGUGACCGGCACAUUGGGACUGAGACACGGCCCAAAACUCCUACGGGAGGCAGCAGUGGGGAAUAUUGCACAAUGGGGGAAACCCUGAUGCAGCGACGCCGCGUGAGCGAAGAAGGCC